AAAACAAAAAGAAAAAUUAUAACAAUCAGAAAAAUAAACACGCAAUAUAUAUGUACAUUUACCAAUACCAAACAAAAAAUAUAUAAUACACUUACAAAUUAGAGUCCAAAAGAAGAUGAGCGGUUCAACUGUGGAUCAAGUGCGGUGCGGUUCAAAUAGUAACGAAAAUAUAUACAUAUACAUA
RNAcentral lists this small RNA (184 nucleotides) under Arabidopsis thaliana (thale cress). Its description in RNAcentral is "ATSL155800". The record is from RNAcentral. Lineage: Eukaryota; Viridiplantae; Streptophyta; Magnoliopsida; Brassicales; Brassicaceae.